Long non-coding RNA from Hirundo rustica (Barn swallow), 584 nucleotides. RefSeq lists it as uncharacterized. NCBI's taxonomy places the organism in Eukaryota, Metazoa, Chordata, Aves, Passeriformes, Hirundinidae. The record is from RefSeq and is a predicted model, not a curated record. The transcript is spliced from 3 exons.
UUUGUGUGGUGCUGUAGUCACUUACAUCCUUCUCCCUUCCCCGGAGGCUGAAUCCCUGGCAGCAGAGGGGAGGGAAAGCUCUGGUGAAAUAAAGCCCCAGAUUAAGGAAUAGAAGGAGGAAGUGAGAAGCAGUCAGCAGAAGAAAGGCUGGUUAUUAAAAUGGAUGGAAAAUUUGAGCAUCUGAAAAAAAACUCAGAAGGAUUUGCCGGAUCUGCUGAACUAAUAGAGGGGAUGACUUCUCUCAGCAGCAUUGCCAAGCUUACACCCUGAAAUGAUCAAAGGCACAGCGACACAGUUAUUUAAGAUACCUUCACGUCUGAGAAGAUUUAGCACUUUUAUUUCUUGGCACAGUUCUAAAUCUUCCCUAAAAAAGAUACUUCAGAGUAAAUUAAAAAAAAGCUAAUUUAGUAGCCCUGACAAAGCUGGUACAAAAGAUGACAACAGCUGUGAACUGAUUGAAAAAAUCCCUUUAAAAGCAAAUUGUGCAGACUGUAAUUUGGAAUAUUUACUAGGAUGAGUGAGUCCCUUCUGGUUUUCUCCAUGUGAAAACUCCUAAUGUGUCAGAUUUUUUGUUUUGCUUUGUU